UUCCUACGGGGGGCAGCAGUGGGGAAGUUUGGACAAUGGGGGCAACCCUGAUCCAGCCAUGCCGCGUGCGGGAAGAAGGCCUUCGGGUUGUAAACCGCUUUUGUCAGGGAAGAAACGCUCUGGGCUAAUACCCCGGGGUAAUGACGGUACCUGAAGAAUAAGCACCGGCUAACUACGUGCCAGCAGCCGCGGUAAUACGUAGGGUGCAAGCGUUAAUCGGAAUUACUGGGCGUAAAGCGUGCGCAGGCGGUCUUGCAAGACAGAUGUGAAAUCCCCGGGCUCAACCUGGGAACUGCAUGUGUGACUGCAAGGCUGGAGUGCGGCAGAGGGGGAUGGAAUUCCGCGUGUAGCAGUGAAAUGCGUAGAUAUGCGGAGGAACACCGAUGGCGAAGGCAAUCCCCUGGGCCUGCACUGACGCUCAUGCACGAAAGCGUGGGGAGCAAACAGGAUUAGAUACCCGAGUAGUCGA
RNAcentral lists this ribosomal RNA (469 nucleotides) under uncultured Comamonadaceae bacterium. RNAcentral describes it as "bacterial SSU rRNA". It matches the Rfam family "Bacterial small subunit ribosomal RNA", at positions 336 to 797 of the family's 1533-position model. Lineage: Bacteria; Pseudomonadati; Pseudomonadota; Betaproteobacteria; Burkholderiales; Comamonadaceae. The record is from RNAcentral.